This 68-nucleotide transfer RNA is filed under the name Pachymantis bicingulata. RNAcentral describes it as "tRNA-Cys". The record is from RNAcentral. Lineage: Eukaryota; Metazoa; Arthropoda; Insecta; Mantodea; Hymenopodidae.
AAGUCUUAAUAAUUUACUUUCUACACCUUUAGAAUUGCAUUCUAAUAUCAUAUCAUGAAUAUAAGACC